Molecule: ribosomal RNA, 488 nt
Filed under: uncultured bacterium
Lineage: Bacteria
Description: bacterial SSU rRNA
Rfam family: Bacterial small subunit ribosomal RNA
Source: RNAcentral
UGAACGCUGGCGGCGUAGCUUAACACAGUGCAAGUCGAACGGAGUUUUAACGGAAGUUUCGGAUGGAAGUUAAGAACUUAGUGGCGGACGGGUGAGUAACGCGUGGGUAACCUGCCUCAUACAGGGGGAUAACAGUUAGAAAUGACUGCUAACACCGCAUAAUAUAGUGAAACCGCAUGAUUUUGCUAUCAAAUAGUUUAUAGGUAUGAGAUGGGCCCGCGUCUGAUUAGCUAGUUGGUGGGGUAAAGCCUACCAAGGCGACGAUCAGUAGCCGGCUUGAGAGAGUGACCGGCCACAUUGGGACUGAGACACGGCCCAAACUCCUACGGGAGGCAGCAGUGGGGAAUAGUUGGACAAUGGGGGAAACCCUGAUCCAGCGAACCGCCGCGUGAGUGAAGAAGUAUUUCGGUAUGUAAAGCUCUAUCAGCAGGGAAGAUAAUGACAGUACCUGACUAAGAAGCCCCGGCUAACUACGUGCCAGCCGCUGC